UGGUUCUGGCAUCGAUGAAGAACGCAGCGAAAUGCGAUAAGUAAUGCGAAUUGCAGAAUUCAGUGAGUCAUCGAAUCUUUGAACGCACAUUGCGCCCUUUAGUAUUCUAGAGGGCAUGCCUGUUCGAGCGUCAUUAUCACCUAUCAAGCCUGGCUUGCUGUUGGGCCUUCGCCGUUAAAGAACGUGGCGAGCCCCAAAGAUAAUGGCGGUGUCAAUUCGACCCUCGGUGCAACGAGCUUUUCACGAGGCACGCAUCAGAGUUGGACGAUUGGCCCGGCCGGUUACACCCCAAUUUUAACAAGGUUGACCUCGGAUCAGGUAGGAAUACCCGCUGA
Molecule: unclassified non-coding RNA, 335 nt
Filed under: uncultured fungus
Lineage: Eukaryota; Fungi
Description: partial contains 5.8S ribosomal RNA and internal transcribed spacer 2
Rfam family: 5.8S ribosomal RNA (bases 1-133)
Source: RNAcentral